This is a small nucleolar RNA of Phyllopteryx taeniolatus (common seadragon), 84 nucleotides long. RefSeq annotates it as small nucleolar RNA SNORD35. NCBI's taxonomy places the organism in Eukaryota, Metazoa, Chordata, Actinopteri, Syngnathiformes, Syngnathidae. The record is from RefSeq and is a predicted model, not a curated record. The transcript has a single exon.
UUCAAAUGAUGUUUAUCUCACGAUGGUCUUCCAAGCCUGUCGGGCCCUGACGACGAUGCCAGACGGCAAAGCUGAUGUGGUGUU